RNAcentral lists this ribosomal RNA (254 nucleotides) under uncultured bacterium. RNAcentral's name for it is "partial 16S ribosomal RNA". It matches the Rfam family "Bacterial small subunit ribosomal RNA", at positions 524 to 776 of the family's 1533-position model. The record is from RNAcentral.
UACGGAGGGCGCAAGCGUUAUCCGGAAUCACUGGGUUUAAAGGGCGCGUAGGGGGUGGUGUAAGACAGUUGUGAAAUGCCCCGGCUUAACCGGCGGAAGUGCGAUUGAUACUGCAUCACUUGAAUCAGGAUGAGGCAGGCGGAAUGUGGGAUGUAGCGGUGAAAUGCUUAGAUAUGCCAAAGAACACCAAUUGCGAAGGCAGCUUGCUGGGCCUGAAUUGACGCUGAGGCACGAAAGCGUGGGGAGCAAACAGG